Molecule: ribosomal RNA, 407 nt
Filed under: uncultured bacterium
Lineage: Bacteria
Description: bacterial SSU rRNA
Rfam family: Bacterial small subunit ribosomal RNA
Source: RNAcentral
CGAGCGGCAGCACGGGGAGCUUGCUCCCUGGUGGCGAGCGGCGGAGGGGUGAGUAAUGCAUAGGAAUCUGCCCGGUAGUGGGGGAUAACGUGGGGAAACCCACGCUAAUACCGCAUACGUCCUACGGGAGAAAGCGGAGGAUCUUCGGACUUCGCGCUAUCGGAUGAGCCUAUGUCGGAUUAGCUAGUUGGUAAGGUAACGGCUUACCAAGGCAACGAUCCGUAGCUGGUCUGAGAGGAUGAUCAGCCACACUGGGACUGAGACACGGCCCACACUCCUACGGGAGGCAGCAGUGGGGAAUAUUGGACAAUGGGCGAAAGCCUGAUCCAGCCAUGCCGCGUGUGUGAAGAAGGCUUUCGGGUUGUAAAGCACUUUCAGCGAGGAAGAAAGCCUCUGGGUUAAUACCC